Small nuclear RNA from Leptonychotes weddellii (Weddell seal), 107 nucleotides. Lineage: Eukaryota; Metazoa; Chordata; Mammalia; Carnivora; Phocidae. The record is from RefSeq and is a predicted model, not a curated record.
GUGCUCACGUCAACAUUGCAUAUACUAAAAUUGGAAUGAUACAGGAAAGAUUAGCAUGGCUCCUGUGCAAGGAUGACAUGCAAAUUCAUGAAGUGUUAAAAAAAGAA